This is a long non-coding RNA of Leopardus geoffroyi (Geoffroy's cat), 189 nucleotides long. RefSeq lists it as uncharacterized. NCBI's taxonomy places the organism in Eukaryota, Metazoa, Chordata, Mammalia, Carnivora, Felidae. The record is from RefSeq and is a predicted model, not a curated record. The transcript has 2 exons.
GCUUACUUUUUUUUCUAAAAUUUUGAAUAUCAUAUUCAUAUUGGGUAGGAUUAUUUUCUUACCUGAAUUUAUUGACGUUGAUGUUUAUGUUAAAGGUAGACAUUGCUAUAAACUUAGUUUCCUUUUCGUACUUUUAAAUAAAAUUGACGGCUUACAGUUAUUUGCGUGGCCACCCCAUAACGGUUUGCA